Non-coding RNA from Electrophorus electricus (electric eel), 384 nucleotides. Lineage: Eukaryota; Metazoa; Chordata; Actinopteri; Gymnotiformes; Gymnotidae. The record is from RefSeq and is a predicted model, not a curated record.
UCAGGGUUCAGAUCUGCAGAGUACUUUGUGUGGACUCAUUUGGCGAGACCAUAACCAGGAGCAGAUCCAAAAUGUCUUCAAACGAUUUUUGUUUCACUAUUCCAAAGCACAGAAUUCUCUUGGUUCUGUUGAGAGAGAGUCACACUUCGUCCACCCGCUAAUGCGCCUCUCCCCCAAGUUUACCCAGCGCAGGAAGAAACAGCAGGCAUCCUCGAGAAGCUGAAGGGGACAUGCAGUCACUCAGACAGACUCGUUUGAGAUGUCCUCUGUUCUUUCCUUGGAUGCUCUGCAAGAUGGGGAACAAGGUCUGGGCUGAUCCCAACUCACAGACCACUCGAGCUGUAAUUGAGUCAAUGUUUGUAAAUAAAUUGAAUCUCAUGUUUU